Non-coding RNA from Pelobates cultripes (western spadefoot toad), 436 nucleotides. Lineage: Eukaryota; Metazoa; Chordata; Amphibia; Anura; Pelobatidae. The record is from the annotation of a GenBank genome assembly.
GUAUAAUCAAAAGGGUGUAGCAUUUUCAAUGGCAAAAUGUUGGACUUGGCAUGUGUUCUGCUCACUCUGUGUAUUACAAGGGCAAAAUAUUAGUUGUGAACAUUUAAUUCCAGCUGUUCUUAACAAAUGUACAAAAGAUCAAGAACCCCAGACGAAACUGUACAUUUCACAUAUUUAAGGAGGACAUUUGAGGCUACAUCUCUCAUAUUUCAGGGAAAACUGUCAAGGACGUAAAAUCUGUUAACAAAUUUAAAAAAAGAAAUCUGUCAGAAAUACGAUUCCAGUUUCAUGCUCUAUUCUCUCAUGAGAUUUCCCUAUUAGAAGAGACAUUGUUUGGGUAGAAUCCAAAGGCAGCAUCCGUCCUUGCAACAGAACCAUUUUACGAGGAUGACCGAAACUGUUAGUCUUCAAUUAGAGAGAAGCGUGUCAACGUUCU